This is an RNA transcript of Zingiber officinale, 2390 nucleotides long. It is a transcript of the gene named anthranilate phosphoribosyltransferase, chloroplastic-like, with no coding region annotated. The transcript is spliced from 9 exons. Lineage: Eukaryota; Viridiplantae; Streptophyta; Magnoliopsida; Zingiberales; Zingiberaceae. The record is from RefSeq and is a predicted model, not a curated record.
GAGAAUUUUGCCGUUCUUUUCUUUGCCUUAUCGCCCGGCCGGCUUCCCAAAAUCUAAUGCCCUUCCAGGUGAUCUCUCAGGAGACCGGAAGAUCUCUGACGCUCAAGUCGACUUUCUUUCUAAUUUUGGCAACCGCCGUCAAUUUCCAUUCCAGUUUUUGCGCUCGCUGCCUUCGACCCAAAUCUCUCACUGCAUUUCGCCCUAAAGCUGUGGAAUCGUUAGCAGAUUUCGUUUAUGAUGUCCACGGCGUCAUUUUGCGGGCAGCUAGCCUCUUCUUUGUCGGUGACCAGGAGUCGUAGGCGGCACUUGAAUUGGCAAACUCGUCGCUGCUUCUUCAAUCUUGCAUCUGCCGGUCGCAGUUACGGAUCUGUGGCUGUUCGGCCCCUGCGGGCCCUGUCCACCACAAGCGCUCUGGGGACCGGCCCUUUGGAGGUUCGGUUCAACGAGGUAAUUGAGUCGCUCGUGGAUCGAAUUGAUCUAUCGGAAGAAGAGGCGGAAGCGUGCCUCAAGCUUCUACUCAAUGAAGCCAACGAGGCUUUAAUUAGCGCCUUCCUCGUGCUUUUGCGUGCUAAAGGAGAGACCUUUCAGGAGAUUGUUGGAUUGGCGAGGGCGAUGAUAGAAUGCGCGGUGAAGGUCAAUGGAAUAGGUGAUGCGGUUGACAUUGUUGGUACUGGAGGAGACGGGGCUAAUACGGUUAACAUUUCUACCGGGGCUUCUAUACUUACUGCAGCAGCUGGUCUGAAUGUCGCCAAGCAAGGUAAUCGAUCCAGCUCCUCUGCCUGCGGUAGUGCUGAUGUAUUGGAAGCGUUGGGGGUGAACAUCCAGUUAGGCCCUGAGGAAGUAAAAUGCUGCGUGAAGGAAGCAGGUAUAGGAUUCAUGAUGUCUCCACUUUAUCACCCAGCAAUGAAAAUUGUUGGUCCUGUUAGGAAAAAGCUCAAAGUGAAGACUGUCUUCAACAUUCUGGGGCCAAUGUUGAAUCCAGCACGAGUUCCAUACACCGUUGUUGGUGUAUACCAUGAAGACAUAGUACUCAAAAUGGCUAAUGCAUUGCAGAAGUUUGGAAUGAAGAGAGCAUUAGUAGUUCAUUCUAAAGGUUUAGAUGAGAUAAGUCCACUUGGAUCUGGAUACUUCCUUGAUGUCACGCCCACAGCAAUAAACAAACUAUACUUCGAUCCAUUGGACUCUGGUAUUCCCCGCUGCACGCUAGAUGAUCUUAAAGGAGGCGGCCCACAGUUCAAUGCAGAAGUUCUUCGAAGAGUAUUGUCUGGUGAAAAGGGCCCAAUUGCUGAUGCUCUCGUAAGUCAGUUCCUUUUUGUUAAUUUUGCUGACAUGGUUGCAAUUACAGUCUUAUGUUUCAAUUGUCUUAGCAGCAUCAUAAUUUCCAUAGGUAAAAAUGCUUUGUCUUACAAAAUACUGGCUAGCUUGGCUAGUUUUUAUAGUCUGACUAUCCAUCGUGCUGCUCGAGAAGUGUGUGGUUACAUUUUUCACAUAACUUUAGUCACAGUAAGCAUGCAAAUAAACUGACCGGUGGCAAUUUGAUAAUGGAACUUUGAAUUUGUAGCAGCUAUAGAAGUUUUCUGUGUCCACUCAAAUCAGUUUUAGCACCUUUCUAUUUUAUUUCUGCCAACCUGUCUGUCUAUUCUCUACAUAGCUAGUUUAUCCUUUUGAGGGGUUUUAUCGCAUCUAUUGUCUCACACGAGGGCCUUCUUUAGUAAAAUUUGUAAGCUUCUCGACACCAAAUAUUCCAGUGGUUUAUAGCCAGGUCUAUAGUUUCCUUGAACUCAUGUCAAUUUGAAUAGAAGUAUACCAUGAACAUAUUUUUGAUUGCACUUGGUUUCUAUGAUUUCUUCAAAUGCAGGUUCUUAAUGCUGCCGCUGCUCUUCUCGUCGCCGGUCAUGUGAGCAACUUUAGCGAAGGUGUAGCACUAGCUCAAGAGACGCAUCAAUCUGGGAAGGCCAUCGACACACUCACUUCCUGGAUUGCAGUCUCCAACAGAUCAGGAUAAGCAGCUGCGAGGUCUCUAUGAUUAGUAUCUCGAUCGGUAUGCGAUAAAUUACUCGAGCGCCUUGUUGCGACAUGCUGAGGUGAAGGUUGAUUUCGAAGUCCAGAAAUAUUUACCAUCGCAAUAAAAGUUCCAUCUUAUGACGGAUGACCUUGUGAUCUUUCAUGAUUAUGGUGUCAGACGCAACCCGAAAUACCUCUGAAUCGAAUUUUAAGAACAGUUGUAGCUGCUAACUGCUAUAACGUGUAACAAUUGGUUGUUAAUAUUUAUAAGUGUCAUUAUUGGUUGAUUUUGCUUAUAACACGGUUAAAAUAAUAUUUUAUUAAGGAAAAUAAAUUGAAGGGAUUUUAUGACACCUACUUCAUUUUAAAUGAAUAUUAUUUGGUUA